CCUACGGGGGGCUGCAGUGGGGAAUAUUGGGCAAUGGGCGCAAGCCUGACCCAGCAACGCCGCGUGAAGGAAGAAGGCUUUCGGGUUGUAAACUUCUUUUCUCAGGGACGAAGAAAGUGACGGUACCUGAGGAAUAAGCCACGGCUAACUACGUGCCAGCAGCCGCGGUAAUACGUAGGGGGCAAGCGUUGUUCGGAAUGACUGGGCGUAAAGGGUGUGUAGGCGGUGUAGCAAGUUAGAAGUGAAAUACCUAGAGCUUAACUCAGGUGCUGCUUCUAAAACUGCUAUACUUGAGUGCAGUAGAGGAAAGUGGAAUUCCUAGUGUAGCGGUGGAAUGCGUAGAUAUUAGGAGGAACAUCAGUGGCGAAGGCGACUUUCUGGACUGUAACUGACGCUGAGGCACGAAAGUGUGGGGAGCAAACAGGAUUAGAUACCCCUGUAGUC
RNAcentral lists this ribosomal RNA (444 nucleotides) under uncultured bacterium. RNAcentral's name for it is "partial 16S ribosomal RNA". It matches the Rfam family "Bacterial small subunit ribosomal RNA", at positions 338 to 795 of the family's 1533-position model. The record is from RNAcentral.